RNAcentral lists this ribosomal RNA (426 nucleotides) under uncultured bacterium. RNAcentral describes it as "bacterial SSU rRNA". It matches the Rfam family "Bacterial small subunit ribosomal RNA", at positions 356 to 774 of the family's 1533-position model. The record is from RNAcentral.
UGGGAAUUUUGGACAAUGGGCGCAAGCCUGAUCCAGCAAUGCCGCGUGCAGGAUGAAGGCCUUCGGGUUGUAAACCGCUUUUGUCAGGGAAGAAACGAGUUUCUCUAAUACAGAGACUUAAUGACGGUACCUGAAGAAUAAGCACCGGCUAACUACGUGCCAGCAGCCGCGGUAAUACGUAGGGUGCAAGCGUUAAUCGGAAUUACUGGGCGUAAAGCGUGCGCAGGCGGUUAUGCAAGACAGAGGUGAAAUCCCCGGGCUCAACCUGGGAACUGCCUUUGUGACUGCAUAGAUAGAGUACGGUAGAGGGGGAUGGAAUUCCGCGUGUAGCAGUGAAAUGCGUAGAUAUGCGGAGGAACACCGAUGGCGAAGGCAAUCCCCUGGACCUGUACUGACGCUCAUGCACGAAAGCGUGGGGAGCAAACA